Molecule: ribosomal RNA, 318 nt
Filed under: Ixodes luciae
Lineage: Eukaryota; Metazoa; Arthropoda; Arachnida; Ixodida; Ixodidae
Description: partial 12S ribosomal RNA
Source: RNAcentral
UCAAAAAANUUUGGCGGUAUUUUAAGCUUUUUAGAGGAAUUUGCUCUGUAAUGGAUAAAACGCCUUAAUCUUACUUAAUUUUGUUAGCAGUUUGUAUACCACUAUAUAAAUUAUAUUAAAUAGUUAAUAUUUUAAAUUUUUUUAUAAAAAGUAUAUUAAGUCAAGGUGCAGCAGAAAGUUAUGAAUGAAGUGAAUUACAUUGAUUAUAAUUAAUUUUUAUAUUGAAAAUAAAAAUUAGGAUUUAAUAGUAAAAUACUAAUAUAAUGAGUAUUUGAACAAAGCUCUAAAAUAUGCACAUAUCGCCCGUCGGCUCUCGAA